GAAGUAUGUCUCGAAAGUACUCCUGCCACCUCUGCUUGACUUGACACUCCCCCAUCAGAACUCUACCAUCCUCGCCCUUAAUGCACCUAACUUGGUCAAGAUCGCGUGCCUUCCUUUCCCUUGCUUUCGCUAACCGGAAUAACUUCCUGUCCCCGCCUUUCUCCCCUACUUCCUCGUACAUGCGACCAAACGUCGCGUUUUUAGCUUCCGUAACCGCUAGCUUUGCUUCUUUCCUCGCCACCUUGUAGAUCUCCCUGUUCGCUCUCCGUUCUUCCUCGCUUGUGCUCCCUGCCAA
This 295-nucleotide long non-coding RNA is filed under the name Nicotiana benthamiana. RNAcentral's name for it is "long non-coding RNA (NBEN_LNC009419)". Lineage: Eukaryota; Viridiplantae; Streptophyta; Magnoliopsida; Solanales; Solanaceae. The record is from RNAcentral.